AUUGAACGCUGGCGGCAGGCCUAACACAUGCAAGUCGAACGGUAACAGGAAGAAGCUUGCUUCUUUGCUGACGAGUGGCGGACGGGUGAGUAAUGUCUGGGAAACUGCCUGAUGGAGGGGGCUAACUACUGGAAACGGUAGCUAAUACCGCAUAACGUCGCAAGACCAAAGAGGGGGACCUUCGGGCCUCUUGCCAUCGGAUGUGCCCAGAUGGGAUUAGCUAGUAGGUGGGGUAACGGCUCACCUAGGCGACGAUCCCUAGCUGGUCUGAGAGGAUGACCAGCCACACUGGAACUGAGACACGGUCCAGACUCCUACGGGAGGCAGCAGUGGGGAAUAUUGCACAAUGGGCGCAAGCCUGAUGCAGCCAUGCCGCGUGUAUGAAGAAGGCCUUCGGGUUGUAAAGUACUUUCAGCGGGGAGGAAGGGAGUAAAGUUAAUACCUUUACUCAUUGACGUUACCCGCAGAAGAAGCACCGGCUAACUCCGUG
Molecule: ribosomal RNA, 490 nt
Filed under: uncultured bacterium
Lineage: Bacteria
Description: partial 16S ribosomal RNA
Rfam family: Bacterial small subunit ribosomal RNA
Source: RNAcentral